Molecule: RNA transcript, 2085 nt
Organism: Eurytemora carolleeae
Lineage: Eukaryota; Metazoa; Arthropoda; Copepoda; Calanoida; Temoridae
Gene name: zinc metalloproteinase-disintegrin-like NaMP
Exons: 9
Source: RefSeq, a predicted model, not a curated record
AAAAUAAAUUUUCGCAAAAAAUGGGACUUUGUUUUCGAAACGAUUUCUCCAGUUUGCUAGAAGUCCUAUCCAGAUGCCAAUGAGUCACUGAUUUCAAAUCUUUUUGUUUAGAGAUUUUGACGCCGGUACGUCUGGUUUUGCUUCUGUGGGUACAGCAUGUUGGGAAACAAAGAAUUCAGGGUUCAUCACUUUUAUAAACUAUGCCAGGCCCCGAGACCUAAAUGAUACAGUAGUAACACUUGCACACGAGUUUGGACAUAGUUUGGGCUCAAAACACGACGAGGAGUAUGAGGAUGAGGAUUGCGACGACAACUUUAUAAUGUCGUCUUUUCUCAACCAAACUACGCCAGACGAGUUUAGUAACUGUAGUAUCAGAGCAAUACAGGAGAAGUUGACUGAGGUUUUGAACUCUGAAAGGAAUUGUAUCCAGGAACCCAGGAAUACAGAGGUGGAGAUUGCUGUCUGUGGAAAUGGAAUAUUGGAGCCUGGAGAACAAUGUGACUGUGGAUAUGACGAGAUUUCUUGCAAUGAUCCAUGUUGUUAUCCUGCUUCGAUCAGUCAGGCAGACAGAGAUUAUAAUACUACUGGAGCACUCCCUUGUUCAACUAACCAAAGGAAAAGAUGUGUUAAUCCCCCCGGAUUAGUCUACGGAAUUUAUAUUCCUCUUGUUUUCAUCCUCAUCGCGUCCAUCCUAGUCAUUGUUCUACUCAAGAACGAUUGGUCAAGAGAUAAAACAUUGUUCAGGCAUAUAACUCAUGGUAAUAUCAAGAUAGUUGCCAGAAAGCGUCAAGGUGUUAAUAGUCUUCAGUCUUCUGAACAGGAGGCAGGUCUCUCAUCCUAGAUAUCCUGAACAGGAGGCAGGUUGACUCCUAGUAGAAUCUGAACAGGAGGCAGGUCUUCUGUAGAAUCUGAACCGGAGGCAGAUAUAUCAUCCUAGAUAUCCUGAACAGGAGGCAGGUCUUUUAAUAGAAUCUGAACAGGAGGCAGGUCUCUCAUCCUAGAUAUCCUGAAUAGGAGGGAGGUCUCCUAAUAGAAUCUGAACAGGAGGCAGGUCUCUUAGUAGAAUCUGAACAGGAGGCAGGUCUUUCAGUAGAAUCUGAACAGGAUGCAGGUCUCCUAGUAGAAUCUGAACAGAAGGCAGGUCCCUAGUAGAAUCUGAACAGGAGGCAGAUCUCCUAGUAGAAUCUGAACAGGAGGCAGGUCUCUCAUCCUAGACUACUAAACUGAAGGCAGGUCUCUUUGUAGAAUCUGAACAGGAGGCAGGUAUCCUAGUAGAAUCUGAACAGGAGGCAGGUCUCCUAGUAGAAUCUGAACAGGAGGCAGGUCUGUCAUCCUAGAUAACCUGAUAAGGAGGCAGGUCUACUAGUAGAAUCUGAACAGGAUAUGAGAAAUGUCACACAAAAAACAGGAUUAAACUAAGAACUAAGAAUGAAAGCUGAAAGAAAACAUAUGAACAAGGAAAGUACACGAGGAAACAGAAUGGAAUGAGAAAACAUAAAGACAGAGUGUGCAUGGGUAUUGUUGUGAAUCGAACGUGGCAUUUACGAGAAAAUACAAUACAUGGGUCUUUAAAUCAGAGAAGAAGAGAGAAAAAUCCUGAUGAAAAUAAAAAAAAACGAUUCAUAAAGUGAAAAAAAAAUAAAAAAUAACCUUUGAAAUAUUGUGAUAUUGUAUAUUAGUAUUUUGAAAACUUUAAUCUUUCUACACAAUUAUAUAAAUUGUAAUUGAAGAUAUUCAAACAAUUCUUUGAAGUUAGAAAACUGAAUAUAUAAAAAGUGAAAAGUGAUAUUUGUGUACUCUAUCAAAAGAAAUAAAAUAAUAUAGUGUAAUUUAGUUUUUUGUUAACCUUGAAUAAUUCGCCUACCCUACAGGGUGUCCCAGGGUAAAAUUCGCCUACAGGGUGUCCCAGGGUGCAAUGCGCCUACAGGGUGUCCCAGGGUACAAUUCGCCUAGAGGGUGUCCCAGGGUAACAGCGUGUUCCAGGGUGCAAAUUGCAAUUCGCGUACAAUUCAAAAUUAGAUAAAAUUUAUUUCAUAUUAUUGUGCGAAACUAGAGAAUAUUGAAUAAAAUUAACAAUAAAAAGUU